RNAcentral lists this small nuclear RNA (146 nucleotides) under Fundulus heteroclitus (mummichog). RNAcentral describes it as "U2 spliceosomal RNA (ENSFHEG00000015787.1)". The stretch from base 1 to 116 matches the Rfam family "U2 spliceosomal RNA". From Rfam's summary of the family: U2 is a small nuclear RNA (snRNA) component of the spliceosome (involved in pre-mRNA splicing). Complementary binding between U2 snRNA (in an area lying towards the 5' end but 3' to hairpin I) and the branchpoint sequence (BPS) of the intron results the bulging out of an unpaired adenosine, on the BPS, which initiates a nucleophilic attack at the intronic 5' splice site, thus starting the first of two transesterification reactions that mediate splicing. The record is from RNAcentral. Lineage: Eukaryota; Metazoa; Chordata; Actinopteri; Cyprinodontiformes; Fundulidae.
AAUGCUUUUCAGCCUUUUGGCUUAGAUCAAGCGUAGUAUCUGUUCUUUUGGGCACAAAAGGCACAAGAUGGGUUGAGUAGAUUAAAUAUAUUCUGAAGAUUUAGCCUCGAUUUUUAUCUCAAUCCAAUAAAGAGAUUCUGUCCCAA